AGAGUUUGAUCAUGGCUCAGGACGAACGCUGGCGGCGUGCCUAAUACAUGCAAGUCGAGCGAACUUCGUUGGAGCUUGCUCCCGAAGGUUAGCGGCGGACGGGUGAGUAACACGUGGGCAACCUGCCUGUAAGACUGGGAUAACUUCGGGAAACCGGAGCUAAUACCGGAUAAUCCUUUUCCUCACAUGAGGGAGAGCUG
Molecule: ribosomal RNA, 200 nt
Filed under: uncultured bacterium
Lineage: Bacteria
Description: partial 16S ribosomal RNA
Rfam family: Bacterial small subunit ribosomal RNA
Source: RNAcentral